RNAcentral lists this ribosomal RNA (492 nucleotides) under uncultured bacterium. RNAcentral describes it as "partial 16S ribosomal RNA". It matches the Rfam family "Bacterial small subunit ribosomal RNA", at positions 29 to 507 of the family's 1533-position model. The record is from RNAcentral.
AGUGAACGCUGGCGGUAGGCCUAACACAUGCCAGUCGAACGGCAGCACAGUAAGAGCUUGCUCUUACGGGUGGCGAGUGGCGGACGGGUGAGGAAUACAUCGGAAUCUACUUUUUCGUGGGGGAUAACGUAGGGAAACUUACGCUAAUACCGCAUACGACCUACGGGUGAAAGCAGGGGAUCUUCGGACCUUGCGCGAUUGAAUGAGCCGAUGUCGGAUUAGCUAGUUGGCGGGGUAAAGGCCCACCAAGGCGACGAUCCGUAGCUGGUCUGAGAGGAUGGUCAGCCACACUGGAACUGAGACACGGUCCAGACUCCUACGGGAGGCAGCAGUGGGGAAUAUUGGACAGUGGGCGCAAGCCUGAUCCAGCCAUACCGCGUGGGUGAAGAAGGCCUUCGGGUUGUAAAGCCCUUUUGUUGGGAAAGAAAAGCAGCAGGUUAAUACCCCGCUGUUCUGACGGUACCCAAAGAAUAAGCACCGGCUAACUUCGUG